UACGUAGGGGCUAGCGUUAUCCGGAAUUACUGGGCGUAAAGGGUGCGUAGGUGGUUUCUUAAGUCAGAGGUGAAAGGCUACGGCUCAACCGUAGUAAGCCUUUGAAACUGAGAAACUUGAGUGCAGGAGAGGAGAGUGGAAUUCCUAGUGUAGCGGUGAAAUGCGUAGAUAUUAGGAGGAACACCAGUUGCGAAGGCGGCUCUCUGGACUGUAACUGACACUGAGGCACGAAAGCGUGGGGAGCAAACAGGAUUAGAUACCCCGGUAGUCCCUGAGCGGG
Molecule: ribosomal RNA, 280 nt
Filed under: uncultured prokaryote
Description: partial 16S ribosomal RNA
Rfam family: Bacterial small subunit ribosomal RNA
Source: RNAcentral